Molecule: ribosomal RNA, 420 nt
Filed under: bacterium
Lineage: Bacteria
Description: partial 16S ribosomal RNA
Rfam family: Bacterial small subunit ribosomal RNA
Source: RNAcentral
UGGGGGAUAUUGCACAAUGGGCGAAAGCCUGAUGCAGCGACGCCGCGUGGGGGAUGAAGGCUUUCGGGUUGUAAACCUCUUUCGCUAUCGAACAAGGCCCGCUUAGGGUGGGUUGAGGGUAGGUGGAGAAGAAGCGCCGGCUAACUACGUGCCAGCAGCCGCGGUAAUACGUAGGGCGCGAGCGUUGUCCGGAAUUAUUGGGCGUAAAGGGCUUGUAGGCGGCUUGUUGCGCCUGCUGUGAAAACGCGGGGCUUAACUUCGCGCGUGCAGUGGGUACGGGCAGGCUUGAGUGUGGUAGGGGUGACUGGAAUUCCAGGUGUAGCGGUGGAAUGCGCAGAUAUCUGGAGGAACACCGAUGGCGAAGGCAGGUCACUGGACCAUUACUGACGCUGAAGAGCGAAAGCAUGGGUAGCGAACAGG